Molecule: ribosomal RNA, 307 nt
Filed under: uncultured bacterium
Lineage: Bacteria
Description: bacterial SSU rRNA
Rfam family: Bacterial small subunit ribosomal RNA
Source: RNAcentral
AUUGAACGCUGGCGGCAGGCCUAACACAUGCAAGUCGAGCGGUAACAUUUCUAGCUUGCUAGAAGAUGACGAGCGGCGGACGGGUGAGUAACGCGUGGGAAUAUGCCCAAUGGUGGGGGAUAGCCAGGGGAAACUCUGAUUAAUACCGCAUAAGCCCUACGGGGGAAAGCGGGGGAUCUUCGGACCUCGCGCUAUUGGAUUAGCCGCGUCAGAUUAGCUAGUUGGUAGGGUAAGAGCCUACCAAGGCGACGAUCUGUAGCUGGCCUGAGAGGGUGGUCAGCCACACUGGGACUGAGACACGGCCCAG